This 402-nucleotide ribosomal RNA is filed under the name uncultured bacterium. Its description in RNAcentral is "bacterial SSU rRNA". It matches the Rfam family "Bacterial small subunit ribosomal RNA", at positions 975 to 1375 of the family's 1533-position model. The record is from RNAcentral.
CAGGACUUGACAUCCUAGGAACCCUGCAGAGAUGCGGGGGUGCCCUUCGGGGAACCUAGAGACAGGUGGUGCAUGGUUGUCGUCAGCUCGUGUCGUGAGAUGUUGGGUUAAGUCCCGCAACGAGCGCAACCCCUAUUGUUAGUUGCCAUCAGGUAAUGCUGGGCACUCUAGCGAGACUGCCGAGGUUAACUCGGAGGAAGGUGGGGAUGACGUCAAAUCAUCAUGCCCUUUAUGUCCUGGGCUACACACGUGCUACAAUGGCUGGUACAGAGGGAAGCAAGACCGUGAGGUGGAGCAAAUCCUCAAAACCAGUCUCAGUUCGGAUUGUAGGCUGCAACUCGCCUACAUGAAGCCGGAGUUACUAGUAAUCGCAGAUCAGAAUGCUGCGGUGAAUACGUUCCC